AUUAAAACACCAGUUCCCAAAUGAUCACUGAUGUUAAGCAAUGUCAAAGCUGGUCAGUACCUAGAUUGGUGACUGCUUGGGAAUACCAGGUGAUGCAAG
This is a non-coding RNA of Acanthosepion pharaonis, 99 nucleotides long. The record is from the annotation of a GenBank genome assembly. NCBI's taxonomy places the organism in Eukaryota, Metazoa, Mollusca, Cephalopoda, Sepiida, Sepiidae.